Molecule: unclassified non-coding RNA, 281 nt
Filed under: Hevea brasiliensis (rubber tree)
Lineage: Eukaryota; Viridiplantae; Streptophyta; Magnoliopsida; Malpighiales; Euphorbiaceae
Source: RNAcentral
AAUUGCCGCCAAUUCAUUGAGAUUAGGCAGAAACGAAAUUCCUCCGACUGACAGAGCCUAUUUCUGAAUUGAAUUUACAAAUAGCCGUGAUAGAGAAAACGCUAAGGUCAAGAUAGUUGUCAGGGUCCGUGUUGGCCCAGUGAGAAGGUCUUGUGAAUCGGUGGGAUAAGAAAUAGUGGGAAUUCGCCAGUGCUGGGAGAGUAGGGAAACUUGUUUGGCGAUGAAUAUGUGUUUUACAGGGGUUCUGGGGGUGUUAAAGGAAAAAGAGAAGGAUUUUAGAG